GAUGAACGCUGACAGCAUGCUUAACACAUGCAAGUCAACUGUGGCGGACUGGUGAGUAACGCGUAAAGAACUUGCCUCACAGUUAGGGACCACAUUUGGAAACGAAUGCUAAUACCUGAUACUGUGGGAGAGCUUUGCGUCCCAUUAGCUAGUUGGAGAGGUAACGGCUCACCAAGGCGAUGAUGGGUAGCCGGCCUGGGAGGGUGAUCGGCCACAAGGGGACAGAGACACAGCCCUUACUCCUGCGGGAGGCAGGAGUGGGGAAUAGUGGACAAUGGGCCGAAGUCUGAUCCAGGAAUGCUGUGUGUAGGAUGAAGUUUUCGGAAUGUAAAGGGCUUUGAGUGGUGAAGCGGUACCAACAGAAGAAGUGACGGCUAAAUACGUGCCAGCAGCCGCGGUAAUUC
Molecule: ribosomal RNA, 404 nt
Filed under: uncultured bacterium
Lineage: Bacteria
Description: partial 16S ribosomal RNA
Rfam family: Bacterial small subunit ribosomal RNA
Source: RNAcentral